Molecule: non-coding RNA, 28 nt
Filed under: Homo sapiens (human)
Lineage: Eukaryota; Metazoa; Chordata; Mammalia; Primates; Hominidae
Source: RNAcentral
UGAGCAGCCGAGGACUGAAGAAGCGAGC